Molecule: ribosomal RNA, 816 nt
Filed under: fungal sp. BGX4
Lineage: Eukaryota; Fungi
Description: eukaryotic LSU rRNA
Rfam family: Eukaryotic large subunit ribosomal RNA
Source: RNAcentral
CGGCGAGUGAAGCGGCAACAGCUCAAAUUUGAAAUCUGGCCCUCGGGUCCGAGUUGUAAUUUGUAGAGGAUGCUUUUGGCGCGGUGCCUUCCGAGUUCCCUGGAACGGGACGCCUUAGAGGGUGAGAGCCCCGUACGGUUGGACACCAAGCCUCUGUAAAGCUCCUUCGACGAGUCGAGUAGUUUGGGAAUGCUGCUCUAAAUGGGAGGUAAAUUUCUUCUAAAGCUAAAUAUUGGCCAGAGACCGAUAGCGCACAAGUAGAGUGAUCGAAAGAUGAAAAGCACUUUGAAAAGAGGGUUAAAUAGCACGUGAAAUUGUUGAAAGGGAAGCGUUUGCGACCAGACCUUUUCCUGGCGGAUCAUCCGGUGUUCUCACCGGUGCACUUCGCCAGGUCGAGGCCAGCAUCGGUUUCCGCGGGGGGAUAAAAGCUCUGGGAACGUAGCUCCUCCGGGAGUGUUAUAGCCCUCUGCACAAUACCCCCGCGGGGACCGAGGACCGCGCUCUAAGCAAGGAUGCUGGCGUAAUGGUUGUCAACGACCCGUCUUGAAACACGGACCAAGGAGUCGAACAUUUGUGCGAGUGUUUGGGUGUCAAACCCUCACGCGUAAUGAAGGUGAACGUAGGUGAGAGCCCUUACGGGUGCAUCAUCGACCGAUCCUGAUGUCUUCGGAUGGAUUUGAGUAAGAGCAUAACUGUUCGGACCCGAAAGAUGGUGAACUAUGCGUGGAUAGGGUGAAGCCAGAGGAAACUCUGGUGGAGGCUCGCAGCGGUUCUGACGUGCAAAUCGAUCGUCAAAUCUGCGCAUGGGGGCGAAAG